This is a long non-coding RNA of Triticum aestivum (bread wheat), 1368 nucleotides long. RefSeq lists it as uncharacterized. The transcript has 5 exons. Lineage: Eukaryota; Viridiplantae; Streptophyta; Magnoliopsida; Poales; Poaceae. The record is from RefSeq and is a predicted model, not a curated record.
UAAACAAAACGCAGCAGAAUUUCCCUUUACAAGACCAUGUUACAAGCUAUCGGGUGCUCAACUUUGAUUCUUUCCUCAAAGGCUGAAAUAGAGUGGUAUAAAUAUUUGCAAACUCAGAUAGCCCCUAGCUAGUCCACCCACAGGCAUUCUGCACACAAACACAAUAGCAUCAUUACAUCGGAGGGAGCAACAAAAGCUUUCUGCCAGCAAUGGCGGAGCUUUUGGGCAUGAUUGCGAGUGCCGCGGGUGAAACAACUGGCUAGCAAGCUUGGCGAGGUUGUGAAUGAGGAGAUCGCUCUGCUGUGGGGGUUCCAGGACGAAGUGGAAGGCUUGGAGGAGAAAAUGAAAGAUUUAGAGGCCGUGAUGCAUGAUGCUGACGAUAGGCUGCGCCGAGGAGAAAGAGAUGGGGAGUCAGUUGGGCGGAAGUGAUGCAUGAUCCACCACCACGAGCUCUAGUUCAUCUGUUGAUGAUCGAAAUGUAGGUCUGAUCUAGAGGCAACAACCAGUGGAGGAGCCCUGAACAAGCCCACAUAUUUCUGAAAAUCUAGUCAUAUUUGCUAACUUCCACAUCUUCAAUUGCAGCUGCAUUGCGAGGAAGUUUUACUCAUUGUUGGAGAGGGUAGGAUGCGGUUGAAGAGUGAAACCGGUAAUAGCAGAGCAUGGAGAGGCAAGUUAAAUUUCUGCAGGCAUUAGCACCUGCAAAGUUGUGAUGAGGAAGGAAGGAACCUUGCGGGAGAAAGUUCCAGAACAUCCACGCUUUUCUCUGCAAAUUCACAGCUGAGGGUGAGCAACAGGCGGAGCUGGACGCGCCAUGGAGUUUCAACAUGGGAAGAUGGAAUGGAACACUGCUUCUGAAAAGCAGAUUGAAACAACCCGCUUCGCUGUAUGUUGGUUUCUAUGGAGAGAGCAAGUGAAAUCGUUGAAAUAGAGACAGAGACUGCAUAACUCAUCGACGUUGCGACAACAUUCUCUACGCUUGUACAGGCGGGAAACCCCUUUCUCUCUUUUGCUCACGUAUUGGUGCAACUCUAGUUUAGAUUUCUGACCUUUCUUCUUAUCCCAGGUGGGAUCGCACAACUGUUGGUCUGGUCAGCUAAGACAGCAGUCAGACUGAGUCGUGAUGGGAGUAGAAGGCGAAGGUCAGAGUUCUCUGUCGGAUGGAACAAUGAAUGACAGAAUGAAUAAUCGUGAUGGGAGUAUGAUACACAUUGUUUUCGCUAUUGUAUUUCUGAGUGCCAGCUAGAGAUGGCAUCAGACCAAUGUACAUUAUUUGUGAUGUACAUGCUUGUUUUCAUGGUGCACUUAGAAUCCCUGUGUGUGUGCUCAUAAGAUAGCUAAUAAUUACUUGGUUUGUUUGCAUAUCUAAUA